Raphanus sativus (radish) is the source of this 1344-nucleotide long non-coding RNA. RefSeq lists it as uncharacterized. NCBI's taxonomy places the organism in Eukaryota, Viridiplantae, Streptophyta, Magnoliopsida, Brassicales, Brassicaceae. The transcript is spliced from 2 exons. The record is from RefSeq and is a predicted model, not a curated record.
UCCAUCUUUAAUUGUCUUUAAUUCUCUUGAAUUUCAUCUCUGUUCGUUGGCGUAAUCGUGUAUAAUUAACCACAGAUCUCUCCUCUGCAUAUCGUACUGUUAUUACUUCCGUGUUGUUAAGGUUUUUUUUUCUGUUUGUGUUUUUCGUAAAAAAAAAACUUAUUUGGUUUGAUUAAUUGUUGUCGGUGAACUGUAUCGUGAUUAUCAUCGUUGGUAUUGUUCUUUGUUUUCAUAACAAAACGCUUGAAGUUGUUUGAUUAGUUUGUUUUGUUUUUUUUUUUUGUUUUUUUUUAAGUUUUAAUCGAUUUUAUCGUUGACGGGAAGUUUGGGAGAUAAUCACGAUUAGGAAAGGAGGCGGAUGCGUUCCCAGCAAGAAGAAGAAGCCGUCCUCUCUCGCCACCACCACCGCCGAUGGUCCCGGAACCGACGAUGCUCCGAUCCCAAUCGAGGACGAUCGGCCGACGACGGAAAUGACAGCACCGGAGAUCACGGCGAGGACGAUCUCUCCGCCACUCAAGAUCUUCGUGGUGUUCUACUCGAAGCUUGGCUAAGAGGAUGAUGAAGGGAGCGGAGGGAGUGGAGGGGGUGGAGGCGAAGCUCUACAGAGUGCCGGAGACGCUUUCUAAGGAGGUCGUCGAGCAGAUGAAGGCGCCGGCGAAGGAUUCAGAGAUCCCGGAGGCGGAGUUGGCGGAGGCCGAUGGGUUUCUGUUUGGGUUUCCGACGAGGGCUGGGGUGUUGCGUUGCUGGUUGGUGUGCCAAGCAAAGACAAUGCCUUCAAGACUCAUCCAAUGAACAUGCUAAACGAGAGGACUCUGAAGGGUACUUUCUUUGGGAACUACAAACCCAAAACUGACAUUCCAGGGGUGGUCGAAAAGUACAUGAACAAGGACAUGGAGCUUGAGAAGUUCAUCGCUCACAUCUCUGAGAUCAACAAGGCCUUUGAUUACAUGUUGAAGGGAGAAAGCAUCCGUUUCAUCAUCACCAUGGGUGCUUGAAACCAACAUUCUCCUCCUACCAAUAAUGUCUACUUUGUGAGUGUUUUAGUAGAUAUCUUUUAUUGCUUUUGGUUUUUAAAGUCUCUAAUUUAUUACCAUAUCGUGCAAUAGUUUUCAUUCUAAUAAAAAUACAUAACCUUUUCCCUUUAAGUGUGUGUGUAUUCAACAUUCAGAAUGCAAACGAACUAACCAUAGUGGCUCAAAAGACGUUUCGGGACAAGCUCUGCAGAUACAGAGCCAUUUGUUUUAAGUGGUUAGAAGGACUGUGAACUCAUUUUGUUUUUGUACAACCCUUUGUUUUCAAGGCCAGUUCCUGAGAUUCUUCUAAUGGCAGCUUUGUGAUUCUGUU